AACGAACGCUGGCGGCAGGCCUAACACAUGCAAGUCGAGCGGACCUUUCGGGGUCAGCGGCGGACGGGUGAGUAACGCGUGGGAAUAUGCCCUUCUCUACGGAAUAGUCCUGGGAAACUGGGUGUAAUACCGUAUACGCCCUUUGGGGGAAAGAUUUAUCGGGGAAGGAUUAGCCCGCGUUGGAUUAGGUAGUUGGUGGGGUAAUGGCCUACCAAGCCGACGAUCCAUAGCUGGUUUGAGAGGAUGAUCAGCCACACUGGGACUGAGACACGGCCCAGACUCCUACGGGAGGCAGCAGUGGGGAAUCUUAGACAAUGGGGGCAACCCUGAUCUAGCCAUGCCGCGUGAGUGAUGAAGGCCUUAGGGUUGUAAAGCUCUUUCAGCUGGGAAGAUAAUGACGGUACCAGCAGAAGAAGCCCCGGCUAACUCCGUG
RNAcentral lists this ribosomal RNA (433 nucleotides) under uncultured bacterium. RNAcentral's name for it is "partial 16S ribosomal RNA". It matches the Rfam family "Bacterial small subunit ribosomal RNA", at positions 29 to 507 of the family's 1533-position model. The record is from RNAcentral.